GACGAACGCUGGCGGCGUGCUUAACACAUGCAAGUCGAACGCUGAAGCUCAGCUUUUGUUGGGUGGAUGAGUGGCGAACGGGUGAGUAACACGUGAGUAACCUGCCUCCUUCUUUGGGAUAACGCCCGGAAACGGGUGCUAAUACUGGAUAUUCACUGGUCUUCGCAUGGGGGUUGGUGGAAAGGGUUUUUCUGGUGGGGGAUGGGCUCGCGGCCUAUCAGCUUGUUGGUGGGGUGAUGGCCUACCAAGGCUUUGACGGGUAGCCGGCCUGAGAGGGUGACCGGGCACAUUGGGACUGAGAUACGGCCCAGACUCCUACGGGAGGCAGCAGUGGGGAAUAAUGCACAAUGGGCGCAAGCCUGAUGCAGCGACGCCGCGUGAGGGAUGGAGGCCUUCGGGUUGUGAACCUCUUUCGCUCAUGGUCAAGCCGCAACAAUGGUUGUGGUGAGGGUAGUGGGUAAAGAAGCGCCGGCUAACUACGUG
Molecule: ribosomal RNA, 483 nt
Filed under: uncultured bacterium
Lineage: Bacteria
Description: partial 16S ribosomal RNA
Rfam family: Bacterial small subunit ribosomal RNA
Source: RNAcentral